This 432-nucleotide long non-coding RNA is filed under the name Manihot esculenta (cassava). Its description in RNAcentral is "long non-coding RNA (MESC_LNC011411)". The record is from RNAcentral. Lineage: Eukaryota; Viridiplantae; Streptophyta; Magnoliopsida; Malpighiales; Euphorbiaceae.
UUUUAUUUUGCAACCUAAAACGAAUUGUAGGAAUAUUCAAAUUAAAAUCCUGUGCAUCAAAACAAAGCUCAUAGGUUGCAUAAAAUUCACAGCAAAGCUCAACAUAGGAGGGACAAUCUAUAACAAAAAAUUUUGUCAAUCCAAUUGUAUCAAUUAAAGCAUAAACUUCAUCAUACAAUCGCAAUUGGAUCAAGGUAUCAUCAUUUAUUUUCUUAAAAGCAUAAAUAUUAGAAUGGAGAAAAAUUUUAUAUCUGACCUCAUCAUCGCCGACAAAGCUAAAAUUGCCAUGAAGGUCUUGCUCUGCAGGUAGAUAUCUAGCCUUUCCACCAGCUAUCUUGGGCAUCCGUUUUUUCUGCUUUUUCUUUGGAGGAGAAUUGGCCUGGAUUUCUUCACUGGCACUUGAGGUUGUGUCCUCGCUGCUGUCCUCCGAAG